GCCCUCGCUGGCUCAGAUGGAUAGAGCGUCUGCCAUGUAAGCAGGAGAGCCCGGGUUCGAGUCCCGGUCAGGGCA
RNAcentral lists this transfer RNA (75 nucleotides) under Schistocerca americana (American grasshopper). Its description in RNAcentral is "tRNA-Thr". It matches the Rfam family "tRNA". Rfam says of the family: Transfer RNA (tRNA) molecules are approximately 80 nucleotides in length. Their secondary structure includes four short double-helical elements and three loops (D, anti-codon, and T loops). Lineage: Eukaryota; Metazoa; Arthropoda; Insecta; Orthoptera; Acrididae. RNAcentral also lists the same sequence under 1 other name. The record is from RNAcentral.